Molecule: non-coding RNA, 804 nt
Filed under: Leptodactylus rhodonotus (Peru white-lipped frog)
Lineage: Eukaryota; Metazoa; Chordata; Amphibia; Anura; Leptodactylidae
Description: partial 12S ribosomal RNA
Rfam family: Bacterial small subunit ribosomal RNA
Source: RNAcentral
GUUUGGUCCUAACCUUAAAAUCAAUUUUUUUUUAACUUACACAUGCAAGUAUCCGCACCCCUGUGAGAACGCCCUUAAACCCCUGAAGGGGCAAGGAGCCGGUAUCAGGCACAAUUUUUAGCCCAAGACACCUAGCCACGCCACACCCACAAGGGAACUCAGCAGUGAUUAACAUUGAAUAUAAGCGACAGCUUGAUUCAGUUAAAAAAAGAAGAGCCGGCUAAUCUGGUGCCAGCCGCCGCGGUUACACCAUGUGGCUCAAAUUGACUUUGAUCGGCGUAAAGCGUGAUUUAAGAGACUUACCUUUGGUGCCAAAAAGACACUAAGCCGUGACACGCUUGUAGUCGAGAAGCCCUAAAACGAAAGAUACACCAAUUAAACCAACUUGAACUCACGACAGCUGGGAAACAAACUGGGAUUAGAUACCCCACUAUGCCCGGCCGUAAAUUUUAACUUACACCCCCUCCAUCGCCAGGGAACUACGAGCAAAGCUUAAAACCCAAAGGACUUGACGGUACCCCAAAUCCAUCUAGAGGAGCCUGUUCUUUAAUCGAUAACCCCCGCUUAACCUCACCACUUUUUGCCUAUCAGCCUGUAUACCUCCGUCGUCAGCUUACCACGUGAGCGCCAUCAAGUGAGCUUAAUGUCCACACGCCAAUACGUCAGGUCAAGGUGCAGCUAAUAAAGUGGGAAGAAAUGGGCUACACUCUCUAUACUAGAGGAAACGGAAGGUCAGCUAUGAAACCUGACCAAAAGGAGGAUUUAGCAGUAAAGAGAAAAAAGAGUGUUCUCUUUAACCUGGCA